CUUCCGCGUGCCUAUACUGCAGUCGAGCGAACUUGCGGGAGCUUGCUCCCAAAAGUUAGCGGCGGACGGGUGAGUAACACGUGGGCAACCUGCCUGUAAGACUGGGAUAACUUCGGGAAACCGGAGCUAAUACCGGAUAACCCUUUUCCUCACAUGUGGAAAAGUUGAAAGAUGGCUUCGGCUAUCACUUACAGAUGGGCCCGCGGCGCAUUAGCUAGUUGGUGAGGUAACGGCUCACCAAGGCGACGAUGCGUAGCCGACCUGAGAGGGUGAUCGGCCACACUGGGACUGAGACACGGCCCAGACUCCUACGGGAGGCAGCAGUAGGGAAUCUUCCGCAAUGGACGAAAGUCUGACGGAGCAACGCCGCGUGAGUGAUGAAGGUUUUCGGAUCGUAAAACUCUGUUGUUAGGGAAGAACAAGUACCGUUCGAAUAGGGCGGUACCUUGACGGUACCUAACCAGAAAGCCACGGCUAACUACGUGCCAGCAGCCGCGGUAAUACGUAGGUGGCAAGCGUUGUCCGGAAUUAUUGGGCGUAAAGCGCGCGCAGGCGGUCUUUUAAGUCUGAUGUGAAAGCCCCCGGCUCAACCGGGGAGGGUCAUUGGAAACUGGGAGACUUGAGUGCAGAAGAGGAGAGUGGAAUUCCACGUGUAGCGGUGAAAUGCGUAGAGAUGUGGAGGAACACCAGUGGCGAAGGCGACUCUCUGGUCUGUAACUGACGCUGAGGCGCGAAAGCGUGGGGAGCGAACAGGAUUAGAUACCCUGAUAGUCCACGCCGUAUACGAUGAGUGCUAAGUGUUAGAGGGUUUCCGCUCUUUAGUGCUGCAGCAAACGCAUUAAGCACUCCGCCUGGGGAGUACGGCCGCAAGGCUGAAACUCAAAGGAAUUGACGCGGGCCCGCACAAGCGGUGGAGCAUGUGCUUUAAUUCGAAGCA
This 937-nucleotide ribosomal RNA is filed under the name uncultured prokaryote. Its description in RNAcentral is "bacterial SSU rRNA". It matches the Rfam family "Bacterial small subunit ribosomal RNA", at positions 36 to 958 of the family's 1533-position model. The record is from RNAcentral.